Molecule: long non-coding RNA, 1640 nt
Filed under: Cucumis sativus (cucumber)
Lineage: Eukaryota; Viridiplantae; Streptophyta; Magnoliopsida; Cucurbitales; Cucurbitaceae
Description: long non-coding RNA (CSAT_LNC002492)
Source: RNAcentral
CCAGCCCACUACAAAGACCCCACUACUAAGUAGGCCCAUCAAUCACAUGCUCUCAAGAAUUUAACAGCCCAUGAUUGCCGCUAGGCCGAGGCCGACCGCCGAAACAAUUAAUACGGUAGAUGUUUUCCUUUUUUUAAUUUUAAAGUUCGUUGAAUUUAUUUAUUGUGAGUUUAAAUGAAGAUAUAUUUCCAAUAAAUCUUCAACUCCUUACUUCCUCAAAAUUAAUUAAAUAAUGACAAUAAUCUUAAUGCAAAAAGAAAAAUACACAAAUAUUACGUAAUUAACAUGUAGAUGUUGCAUUUCUAUUUUAGUUACGUACAUUUCUCUCAAAUGUAUAUACUCACUAAGAUGGUAUUAUAGUGCUUCUUUUAAUACCCGAUACUGAAGCAACUUACUAAAUUUACUGUCUCAAAAAACAAAUUGCAAUAUACUCCAGAAAAAGAAAAAAAAAAAAAAAAAGACAAUGAUAAGAUGCACAAAAAUAAAUUUGGGUUUUGGAGAGUUGUGAAGGCCUAAGUUUUCUUUUCCUAAAAGAAUUAUAAUUUAACAUUUUUUUAAACUAUGCCAUUAAAUUGUAUUUAUCAUGAACAGCAUCUUGAACACAAAGAAAUCAUUAAAGAGACAAAUAUUUUAUCUAACAAAUUUGAAAUACGUAUAUUUGUGAGCUAACAUAAGACUUAAAAGAAGGUAAUUGACAAUAGAAGGUGAAUAAUAUUUUAUUAAGUAUGGAGGUGUUUGAUUUUAUUUCCAAGUGGAGACAUGAAUUGUAUCUCUAGGAAGCUUGAAGAAACUAUUAUCAGUAAUAUCACAAGAAUGAAUAGUCUUACAAGAAAAACGUCCAAACAAAAACUUACUCUUCUUCACAACACCAACGUCGUUAUUAAUUCCUUUAUUUUUAACACUUUUAGUACACUCCUUAUAUGCCAGGAGAAAAGGAUCGUCCAGCUCCUCCUUGGCAGAGACAGCAUUAUUGCAGGGAGGCGGAAGGCGGCAGGGCGGUGGAGGAAUCUUAGAAGAAACUAGGUGGUCGAACUGAGAAGCGCCAUCUGGGUUUUUGUAAAUAGAAGAGGAGUGUAAGUGUAAGGCAAGGGCUUGAAAAUCCCGGAAUUUGGAAACCCCUGGGGGAUUUUGAUUAUGAUGGGGAAUAAUAUUUCCUUGGGAAAGGAGUUUUCUAUGACGAGUACUCAUAUUAAUAAUAACAACAAUAAUUGGAUGAUGAUAAGAUCAAAAUGAUAAUUGUGAAAAAGGGGAAGGCUCAUACAGUGGGAUUAAAAAGGGAGAGCAGGAAGAAGAAGAAGAAGAAGAAGAAGAAGAAGAAGAAGAAGAGAAGAAAAAAAGGGAAUGGUAGCUGGUGGGGUGUGACGUGAAGAGGAAGGGAAUUUGUUUGUUUAAUAAUUGAUAAGAGAAAUGGAAAGAAAAGGCGAUUUUGAUAAGGAGUUUGUUGAAGGAAUGGAUGGGGGUUUUAAUAUUUUAUAUUUUCUCAAGUACUUUGGGCGGUAAACGUGGAAUGUAGUUUCGUUUCCACAACUCAAUCGCUUUGGUUUUUUCUGCCAUCCCAAACCAAUUUAAAUAAUACUGUUUUUAUUUUGGAUUGCGAUUCUUAUUUGUAUUUUAUUUAUUUCAGUAUAUCAUUCUAUUUC